AGGAACAAUUUAUCAACCAUGACCAUGUAACAACUAGCAGUUAUCUGUUAUAAAAGUACAAAUCAUCUCCCUCUCAAUCAGUUACAAUGUUUCCUUUGCGGCUACUACUUGUUUUAUCGGUGGCCAGUUAUGGCUCAUGCAUUCCCCAGCCAUACGACUCAAUAGUGGUAGGAAUGGGGUCCGCUGGGGUAACGGCAGCCACAAUAUUGGCCAAAGCUGGCAAGAGAGUGCUGGGCUUAGAUGCAAUGGAUCGAAUUGGUGGAAGAGUGAAAACAGUUCAAUUUGGGGGAGGUAUUGUUGAAGAAGGAGCUGAAUGGAUUCACGGAACACAAAACAGCCGCGUAUAUGAUUUAGCUGUACAGAAUAAUAUUACAGUUAUACCUCAAGACUUCGAUUUUCUUAUUUUCCGCUCAGAUGGGAACCAGACAUUGAUGCCAGUUUAUUACGAACUUUUUAAUCUCUGCUUUGAAAAGUCUGUAAAUACAAGUGAUGUAUCCUUUGAGAGUACUGCUGAUUAUUUGACGGCUGAAAUAAUAUCCUAUAUUAAAAAGAACUACCCACACUUGGAACAUGACAAGCAAUUCAUAGAUGAAUUUUUGGAUGUCAUGAAUCUCUUCAUAAGUGCAUAUGAAGCGUCAUAUGACUGGCAUGACGUCACGACAAGGUCAACAGCUGAAGAACUUGGCGGAGAUUUGCAUAUGAGCUGGCAUAAGUUUGGAUAUAAAACCUUUUUCGAGUUGAUGCUAAACACAUAUAACAAUGGACCAGGCCUACAAAAUUUGGACAUAAAAUUAAAUACGGAAGUGACUAAAAUCAUAUGGCCAAAAGACACAUCCGGUGAGGUUAAAGUUGUUUGUGCAGAUGGACAAACAUACACAGCAAACAAUGCUAUAGUAACCGUUUCAUUAGGAGUGCUGAAAGAGAGAUACAACACUCUAUUUUCACCAGAAUUGCCAGACGACAAAAUUACAUCGAUACAAAAAAUGUCGAUUGGUGUACUCGAUAAGGUUAUUUUGAAUUUUCCCCACAAGUGGUGGGAUCAGAACAAGGUUUACGUAAUGAUCGAGGCUGAUAAAUCCAAUGAUCUAUGGUUUACGAGACAUGGGGAUGUUUCGACGCCUCUUGCUCUAGACACAGCCUUGACUAUAUGGUUGGCGGGUGAAGCCGCUAAGACGAUACGUCACUUUUCAUCCUCCUCUACCCAAAGACAAAAUCAUGGCCAUAGAUAAAAUUGCAUUUGGGGUUGUCAAUAAAAUAAUCCUUAUAUUUGAUGAAGUUUGGUGGCCCAAUCGUUUGUAUUUUCCAUGCUUAUGGUAUACUGAAGAUAAAAUAAAUUUAUCGGAAUGUGAUCUGUGGUUGUCCCAAAUACGUGGGCCAAGUACAUCUUUAGCUUGCAAAAACUCGCUUACUCUAUGGACAACUGGUUAUGCUGGCAAAAGGGCAGAGACAUUGACAGAUGAAAUAGUUCAACAAAAAUCCAUGGAGUUCCUAAGACGCUUCAUGGGCAAGAACUACACUAUACCGGAACCGAAUGGAAUUCUGAG
RNA transcript from Pieris napi, 1544 nucleotides. It is a transcript of the gene named spermine oxidase-like, with no coding region annotated. The record is from RefSeq and is a predicted model, not a curated record. NCBI's taxonomy places the organism in Eukaryota, Metazoa, Arthropoda, Insecta, Lepidoptera, Pieridae. The transcript is spliced from 8 exons.